CCCAGACUCCUACGGGAGGCAGCAGUAGGGAAUAUUGCUCAAUGGGGGAAACCCUGAUGCAGCGACGCCGCGUGGGUGAAGGAGCGUUUCGGCGCGUAAAGCCCUAUCGGCAGGGAAGAAGGAGGACGGUACCUGACUAAGAAGCCCCGGCUAACUACGUGCCAGCAGCCGCGGUAAUACGUAGGGGGCGAGCGUUAUCCGGAUUUAUUGGGUUUAAAGGGUGCGCAGGCGGAUUUUUAAGUCAGCGGUCAAAUCGUGGGGCUCAACCCCAUCCAGCCGUUGAAACUGGGGAUCUAGAGUGUGCGAGAGGUAUGCGGAAUGCGUGGUGUAGCGGUGAAAUGCAUAGAUAUCACGCAGAACCCCGAUUGCGAAGGCAGCAUACCGGUGCACAACUGACGCUCAGGCACGAAAGCGUGGGUAUCGAACAGGAUUAGAUACCCGUGUAUG
RNAcentral lists this ribosomal RNA (447 nucleotides) under uncultured bacterium. Its description in RNAcentral is "partial 16S ribosomal RNA". It matches the Rfam family "Bacterial small subunit ribosomal RNA", at positions 330 to 793 of the family's 1533-position model. The record is from RNAcentral.